RNAcentral lists this ribosomal RNA (478 nucleotides) under uncultured bacterium. RNAcentral's name for it is "SSU rRNA". It matches the Rfam family "Bacterial small subunit ribosomal RNA", at positions 26 to 518 of the family's 1533-position model. The record is from RNAcentral.
AGGACGAACGCUGGCGGCGUGCCUCAUACAUGCAAGUGGAGCGACGAACCAGGAUUUAUCCUGGGGCAAAGCCGCGAACGGGUGAGUAACACGUGGGUUACCUGCCCCGAUGAUUGGGACAACCCGAGGAAACUCGGGCUAAUACCAAAUGUGUUCUUGGUCGUGAUGACCAAGAAGAAAGGAAGCCUCGGCCUCCGCAUCGGGAUGGGCCCGCGGCCCAUUAGCUUGUUGGUGAGGUAACGGCUCACCAAGGCAACGAUGGGUAGCUGGUCUGAGAGGACGAUCAGCCACACUGGGACUGAGACACGGCCCAGACUCCUACGGGAGGCAGCAGUAGGGAAUCUUGGACAAUGGGGGAAACCCUGAUCCAGCCAUGCCGCGUGAGUGAUGAAGGCCUUCGGGUUGUAAAACUCUUUCAGUGGGGAAGAUAAUGACGGUACCACAGAAGAAGCCCGGCUAACUUCGUGCCAGCAGCCGC